CUCCCUCCCCCCAUCCCAAUGGGCUCCUCUCAUUCCUCCCACGACCAUGGAGAUGGUGAUGAUGGUGAUGAUGAUGAAGAGGAGUUUGGGCUCUUUGUAAACUCCAAGACCUCCAAGAAGAAUCUCAAGCAAGCACCCGAGGUCCUCCCAUAUCGCACUGCUGCCUUUCCACUCUCCCCUUAGCUCUCUAUUGUCGGCACCUUGCACCUCCUUGGCCUUUCCAUCUAG
This 228-nucleotide long non-coding RNA is filed under the name Elaeis guineensis (African oil palm). Its description in RNAcentral is "long non-coding RNA (EGUI_LNC067774)". The record is from RNAcentral. Lineage: Eukaryota; Viridiplantae; Streptophyta; Magnoliopsida; Arecales; Arecaceae.